Molecule: small RNA, 331 nt
Filed under: Vigna angularis var. angularis
Lineage: Eukaryota; Viridiplantae; Streptophyta; Magnoliopsida; Fabales; Fabaceae
Description: Non-protein coding transcript
Source: RNAcentral
GGCGGUGAAAGAGAUUCGUGCAUUCGAAAGGCAUCGAGAAUACAAGCUCUCGAGAUCGGGGCAUGGCUCAGGAAUCACCUCCUUGGAGAAACCAAUUACAUUAGAAUAAAACCACGAAGUGGAUAGUGCAUAACUGAGAGAAAAAGUCGCGUUUGAAAGACAGAUUGUUGAGAAUGGUGAUUCAAAUAUUCUUGAAAAAUUCCCAGCAACAUUAAUAUUUGCACCCAUCACAUUCUUGAAAGUAAUGCUACCAACAACUGGAAGUGCACUUGUGUCAAUGGAAAUCGGAGUAUCCUAUCAUGCUUAUUCCCAAGUGAAUAUUUUCCUUCUG